RNAcentral lists this long non-coding RNA (1367 nucleotides) under Elaeis guineensis (African oil palm). RNAcentral describes it as "long non-coding RNA (EGUI_LNC031234)". Lineage: Eukaryota; Viridiplantae; Streptophyta; Magnoliopsida; Arecales; Arecaceae. The record is from RNAcentral.
CAACCAGUUAAAGACAAUAGUCAUGAAUUUCAUCAUCAGUUUUUAUUGACAAGAAUAAUACUUCACAAACAUAAAUGGUUAUUAUAGAUAUACUAUUACCACUAAAUAAAAUGGGAUGAGAUAAAAAAGAGUAAAGUGAAAUGAGUCAGGUAAGGUAAAGUGAAAUGAGUCAGGUACAGCAUGGAGACAACUAUAGCCUCAAUACAAUUGCCCGAAAUGUCAAGAAUUUGCAUAAGUUCUGCUAAAGCAAUACCAAAUCCAAUCACAAAAGUUCCAUUAGGGAAUAUCAAUCUAACAUGAAAUCCUUUAUUAGUAACUAUAUGUCUGUGAAAAAGAGCUAGCCCUGUUGUAUCCAUACUCCCCUUCCCCAAAUUAAAGCACACAUAAGCAUACACAUAAGCACACAUAUAAAUACAUCUAUACAAAUACAUACAUUUUGGGCAUUAAAAAUAUCAUCCCUGGCACAUUUACAUAUGUUGAAUGUGUCAUCACUGUUUCCAAAAAGUCAUCAAGACCUUUAUAAGAAAGCCUGAAGAGAGAAUACCUUUUAUUGUACAUUAUGUAAAUACGUAAACAAACUGUGUCUUCCCCUUGCUUUCUCUGCCUUUUACAGCACUUAUUCACAUGCUUGUCCAGAUAUGACAUUUCUUUCAAAUCUCCUUCCUCCUCGUGAAAUUCAAAGCUUUCUAUAUAUAACCCCAGUGGUCCCACUAUUCCAUUGAAAAUAAAGAAACUUCAUGUAAUCUAUGUUCUACCAACAAGGUUGCACUAUAAAUUUAAAUAGUUUCUCUGAUAUUUAAUUUUUCUAAACUUUGUUAUCAGAAGCACUACCUUUCCUCACUUUGGGAAAGAAAGCAGCAAUUCAAAAAUUAAACCCUUUUGUCCCACACACUCAAUUUUUAUUGUUACUUUUUGUCAUUACAUGCAUUUUUUUCACUUAUUAUAUUUCUAAACUUUCAUUUCCCUACAUUUUAACAUUGUAGCACUAUACUUUGACUACUUCUAACUUUUUUUCUUCCAAAUUAUAUAUUUCAAUCUAGUAUCUUCAUUAGUCAUUUUUUAUGGGUACAUUCAUCUUCAUUAUCUAAUUUGGAAAGUUCUUCAUAUCUGUGCCAUUUUCCAUGUCAUCAUGAUAUUUCUUGGUGCAUAUUGUCUGCCUUACUUCUUUAUUUUAUGUUAUUCAUUUUCAACUUUGUUUUGCAGAACCGACAAGAUAGUGUUGUUUCCUUUAGAGAACAUCAUUACGAACAAGCAGCAGUAUUAACAAGUCAAAAGUAAAACUUCCAUUGUUCAAAAUGUUUUGCACAAAUCACUAAAUAGCAUUAUCUUCAAAGUAUUGAACAUUUUGGUUGAUGUCACAACAUAAC